GGGAGGUGAUUGGAUCAUGGGAACGGAUUUCCUCCUUGCUGUUCUCACGCUAGUGAGUGAGUUCUCACGAGAUCCGAGCAUUUAAUAGUGUGUGGCUCCUCCUGCUUCGCUCUCCUGCUGCCAUAGGAAGGUGUGCUUGCUACUCCUUUGCCUUCUGCCAUGAUUGUGAGUUUCCUGAGACCUCCUAGUCAUGCUUCCUGUUCAGCCUGCAGAACUCUUCCAGUAAACUUUUAAAAUGAAAAAGAAGGCAAGAUUAAAUAAUCUCAACUAUGUGACUGCUUAAAUGGGGAAUGAAAUCAAUUCUUCACAUCUAUGGAAAAACAAGUGAGCCAGGGUUGUGAUUCCAACUGGAUAAAGAAUGAACGUGGAAUUAUUAAUGUGAUGUAACAGAGGAAGAAAUAAGUUUAAUUGAUCAAGUAUUUGCUCAGUAUGUACUAGGAGCCUGGAAAUUGAAGAGUUUUAUCUCUUGGAAUUCCUUAAGAAAAACCUUGGCUUAAUAAUUUAAAUGUUUUCAUGUCUGAAGCAGGAAAAUGAAUUAGCUAUUACAGGUGCAUUCUUGUUCUUUGAUGCUUACUUGUUAGGACAUAGGCCACCCUUCACUGCUAGUAAUGUGUUCUUAGACAGAAUUAAAAUUGAGCCCACAUCACAUUCUCACAGCCAAACUUGUAAAUCUAUCCUUUAAAGCUCAAAUUUCUGUUUUGAUUAGAUGCAAAACAUUCAGAUGAUUUAUGAUUGUUUAAUUAAAAGAAAUCAGUGAAAUAAAAACAAAUUAAACUGUUUUAAUUGCUUUUGGGUUCAAUUAAUCAACUAUUGCCUACUUGAUGUAUCUACCAACAUUAACACAAGGAAAUAUAUUCAUUAGUUUCAUUCACUUGCUAUUGAAAUGAGACUUUAUUAUUUCUCAUUGAUCUCCUGCCAGGAUGGCGAUAUUUUACUCUUCAACAAUGUACACUGAUAUCAAAGUUGGGAAAAGGUUUCUAUCCUGAAUGUUUGAAAAUGAACCAAUUAACUACACGACCCUAAACCUUUCAGAAUUUUUUCCCCAUUCUAUUAAAAAAAAAAUCAUACAAAGGUUACCCAUGUAUAAUCUUAGUUCUUCAAACUGGUUAUUGCAAC
This 1116-nucleotide long non-coding RNA is filed under the name Homo sapiens (human). RNAcentral's name for it is "HSALNT0345837". The record is from RNAcentral. Lineage: Eukaryota; Metazoa; Chordata; Mammalia; Primates; Hominidae.